This 279-nucleotide ribosomal RNA is filed under the name uncultured bacterium. Its description in RNAcentral is "partial 16S ribosomal RNA". It matches the Rfam family "Bacterial small subunit ribosomal RNA", at positions 506 to 784 of the family's 1533-position model. The record is from RNAcentral.
UGCCAGCCGCCGCGGUAAUACGUGUGGAGCAGGCGUUGUUCGGAAUUACUGGGCUUAAAGGGUGUGUAGGCGGUCUUCUAAGUCAGUGGUGAAAGUCGGUCGCCCAACGAUCGAAUUGCCAUUGAUACUGGUCGACUUGAGUGUGUUAGGGGUAAGCGGAACGUGUGGUGUAGCGGUGAAAUGCGUAGAUAUCACACGGAAGGCCGGAGCCGAAGGGGGCUUACUGGGACACAACUGACGCUGAGACACGAAAGCGUGGGGAGCAAACAGGAUUAGAUA